AUUGAACGCUGGCGGCAUGCUUUACACAUGCAAGUCGAACGGCAGCACGGGGGCAACCCUGGUGGCGAGUGGCGAACGGGUGAGUAAUGCAUCGGAACGUACCCAGUCGUGGGGGAUAACGCAGCGAAAGCUGUGCUAAUACCGCAUACGACCUGAGGGUGAAAGCGGGGGACCGUAAGGCCUCGCGCGAUUGGAGCGGCCGAUGUCUGAUUAGCUAGUUGGUGGGGUAAAGGCCCACCAAGGCGACGAUCAGUAGCGGGUCUGAGAGGAUGAUCCGCCACACUGGGACUGAGACACGGCCCAGACUCCUACGGGAGGCAGCAGUGGGGAAUUUUGGACAAUGGGGGCAACCCUGAUCCAGCCAUGCCGCGUGCGGGAAGAAGGCCUCGGUUGUAACGACUUCGUACGGAAGGAAAUACGCAUGGACGUAAUACUACUGUGUGGAGUGACGGUACC
This 456-nucleotide ribosomal RNA is filed under the name uncultured bacterium. RNAcentral's name for it is "bacterial SSU rRNA". It matches the Rfam family "Bacterial small subunit ribosomal RNA", at positions 29 to 479 of the family's 1533-position model. The record is from RNAcentral.